Molecule: ribosomal RNA, 385 nt
Filed under: uncultured bacterium
Lineage: Bacteria
Description: bacterial SSU rRNA
Rfam family: Bacterial small subunit ribosomal RNA
Source: RNAcentral
AUUGAACGCUGGCGGCAUGCCUUACACAUGCAAGUCGAACGGCAGCGGACCUUCGGGUGCCGGCGAGUGGCGAACGGGUGAGUAAUAUAUCGGAACGUACCUUUCAGUGGGGGAUAACGUAGCGAAAGUUACGCUAAUACCGCAUAUUCUGUGAGUAGGAAAGCAGGGGAUCGCAAGACCUUGCGCUGAUUGAGCGGCCGAUAUCAGAUUAGCUAGUUGGUGAGGUAAAGGCUCACCAAGGCGACGAUCUGUAGCGGGUCUGAGAGGAUGAUCCGCCACACUGGAACUGAGACACGGUCCAGACUCCUACGGGAGGCAGCAGUGGGGAAUUUUGGACAAUGGGCGCAAGCCUGAUCCAGCCAUGCCGCGUGAGUGAAGAAGGCCU